GGCGAUCAGAUACCGCCCUAGUUCUAACCGUAAACGAUGACAACCAGCGAUUAAUCGGCGUUAAUAUACGACCCGAUUAGCAGCUUCCGGGAAACCAAAGUUUUUCGUUUCCGGGGGAAGUAUGGUUGCAAAGCUGAAACUUAAAGGAAUUGACGGAAGGGCACCACCAGGAGUGGAGCCUGCGGCUUAAUUUGACUCAACACGGGAAAACUCACCCGGCCCGGACACUGUAAGGAUUGACAGACUGAGAGCUCUUUCUUAAUUCAGUGGGUGGUGGUGCAUGGCCGUUCUUAGUUGGUGGAGCGAUUUGUCUGGUUAAUUCCGAUAACGAACGAGACUCUGGCCUAUUAAAUAGACGAGGUAUUUAAAUGUAUCUCGCGCUUCUUAGAGGGACAAGCGGCGUCUAGUCGCAUGAAAAAGAGCAAUAACAGGUCUGUGAUGCCCUUAGAUGUCCGGGGCUGCACGCGCGCUACACUGAAAGAAUCAGCGUGCAUUUAAACCUAGUCCGGAAGGACCGGGUAACCCAAGUAAAUUCUUUCGUGCUUGGGAUAGGGAAUUGCAAUUAUUUCCCUUAAACGAGGAAUUCCCAGUAAAUGCGGGUCAUAAGCUCGCGUUGAUUACGUCCCUGCCCUUUGUA
This 637-nucleotide ribosomal RNA is filed under the name cf. Eudorylaimus carteri TSH-2005. Its description in RNAcentral is "SSU rRNA". It matches the Rfam family "Eukaryotic small subunit ribosomal RNA", at positions 1003 to 1664 of the family's 1831-position model. The record is from RNAcentral. RNAcentral also lists the same sequence under 1 other name. Lineage: Eukaryota; Metazoa; Nematoda; Enoplea; Dorylaimida; Qudsianematidae.